AGAGUUUGAUUCUGGCUCAGGAUGAACGCUGGCGGCGUGCUUAACACAUGCAAGUCGAACGGAGUUUUUAAACGGAAGUUUUCGGAUGGAAGUUUAGAAACUUAGUGGCGGACGGGUGAGUAACGCGUGGGUAACCUGCCUCAUACAGGGGGAUAACAGUUAGAAAUGACUGCUAACACCGCAUAAUAUAGCGAAACCGCAUGAUUUUGCUAUCAAAUAUUUAUAGGUAUGAGAUGGGCCCGCGUCUGAUUAGCUAGUUGGUGGGGUAAAGGCCUACCAAGGCGACGAUCAGUAGCCGGCUUGAGAGAGUGACCGGCCACAUUGGGACUGAGACACGGCCCAAACUCCUACGGGAGGCAGCAGUGGGGAAUAUUGGACAAUGGGGGAAACCCUGAUCCAGCCGACGCCGCGUGAGUGAAGAAGUAUUUCGGUAUGUAAAGCUCUAUCAGCAGGGAAGAUAAUGACAGUACCUGACUAAGAAGCCCCGGCUAACUACGUGCCAGCCGCCGC
This 510-nucleotide ribosomal RNA is filed under the name uncultured bacterium. Its description in RNAcentral is "bacterial SSU rRNA". It matches the Rfam family "Bacterial small subunit ribosomal RNA", at positions 8 to 518 of the family's 1533-position model. The record is from RNAcentral.